Poecilia latipinna (sailfin molly) is the source of this 566-nucleotide long non-coding RNA. RefSeq lists it as uncharacterized. Lineage: Eukaryota; Metazoa; Chordata; Actinopteri; Cyprinodontiformes; Poeciliidae. The record is from RefSeq and is a predicted model, not a curated record. The transcript has 2 exons.
AUAUAACCGUCUAAAACAUUCAUUUAUACCACUCUCCAUUAACCUGAUAAAUGGCAGACUAGCGGGGCCUGGACAGAGUAACAGGAGGUCCAGACAAUGACCAACAGUAGUAUGUAGAGGAUGUAUUGGGGAUGUACUGCCGAUCUGACAUUUGUGCUUUUAUGUAUUUUUGUUUGUUUGUUUGUUUGUUUGUUUUUUUGUAUUUAUUCAUGGUUACUGUCCUUUUGGAUGGGCUUUUAUUGUUGUAUUGCAGUUUUGUCCCUGCUUCCAAGAUACAUUUUUCUUAUGGGAGACUAAUAAAAUUAUCUUAUCUUAUCUUAUCUUAUCUUAUCUUAUCUUAUGUAUGAGGUUGAAAAAGAGUCAGUGAGUUGAAUUCAUGAAUUCCAUUUAUUAGUACCAAACAACAGCUGGUCCAUUUCUCAUGCCACCUUUAGGAGAUAGCAGAUCAAAAUGGCAACAAUCAACACUUGGUAACUUCUUUUGUUAGCCUCUGUCUAAGCUACGCCCUAAAGAGGCCGUUCCCUAGUGUGUCAUAUCCUUUGACCCUAGCUUUCAUUUGCAUUUCC